UUUGUUUAAUAAUCGCCCGGGUAUAAAUAUGCACCAGUGGUCCGGGCAGCGGCAGGAGGGGCACCCUAAGGGGCUGCGGAUGCAGGCUCCGGAGGGCCGCGGAACAUCUCCCCUCCCCUCCCCUCUACCCUUUCCCUACCCCUUGGCGUCGGGCUCUUGCAGGUGCUGAGGACCCCGGCGCACAGAAUGGAGGCGCCUUUUGACUUCUAAGGGUCCUCCUCCCCCAUUUAAGGAGAAAACAUCCUUCCUGCCCUCCGCCUUCCCCGAAGUGACCUCACCACAUCCCUGUAAAACCCGGGGAACAGCCAUGGCGGACAGCCUGAGAAGAUUAGUUAACAACGAAAGCUGUCGGACCUUGCAGGACAAAUUGGAGAACUGGUACAAGGAUUACUAUAUGAAUUCAUGUGAUCAGAACUUGAAUUGUUGCUGUGAAAUAAUUGAAAUGAAUUCCAGAAUACAGGGGCAGCUCUUCACAAUCCUCAGUCUAACAGCACAAGAAGGUGGACAUUAUGCUGGUGUGGAAACAAUCAAAUCUCGACUUCUGCCCUGGCUAGGGACUUGUUUCUCCAAUUCUUCUAUAGCAAAACCCAUCGAAAACAAUAUAAACCUUUUGCAGGUAGAGUCACUUGAAAAGGACAGACAGCUGCGAGAACUUUCUGCUUCUCGGGAACGGGAGAUACAACAGUUAGAUUCGGAAUUGAAUUCAACUCGUGUUCAACUCAGCAUGGUUCAACAAGAACUCAAGUCUCUUCAAGCCCAGGAGGAGUCUCGCCAACGCAGCUUGGAUAUGUUAACUGACUAUGAACGACAACUUCGGACUCUGAAGGACGAGAUCGCUGUCCUGUCUGCAGAAAAAUCUGUUCUCCAGAGCAGACUUUCCAGGAGCCGGUCUCCUAGCCCUGUGUCCCAGCACAGUAGAUCUUGCAGUCCCAUGCAGAAAGAGCUGCAGAAAGAGCUGCAUAAAGAGCUGGUGCCCUCUUCACCUCUGGUCAGCAGGCUGAGCUCUGUCUCUCGAAAAGCUAAUCUCUUAGCCCGGUUCAGCGAUGCUUAUGCUCAAGGCCGCCUGGAGGCCCAGACCUUGCUCAAGAGGUUCAUUGACAAGAUGGAGACAGUGCAGAGGAUCAUCUAUAUUGCUACAGUGGAAUCUUUCCAUGUAGCUAAAAUGGCAUUCAGACACUUCAAAAUACGUGUGAGGAAGACUUUAUCGCCAACUCAUAUUGGGUCAGAAGAGCUUGAGGAUGCUGUCAUGGAUUAUGUAAUUUGCCAUCUUGAUUUAUAUGAUGUUCAAUGCAGUGUUAACGAUGUGAUUCGUGCCAUGAACGUGAACCCCAAGAUUUCUUUUCCACCUGAAGUUGACUUUAUCGUUAUCAACAGCUUCAUCAAGGAGAUAUGCUGUAUUGCAUUUGCAAUGCAGACUCUGGAUCCUCCUCUAGAUAUUGCAUUUGGUGCUGAUGGAGAGAUUUUUAAUGAUUGCAAGUAUCGCCGCAGCUGUGACUCUGAUUUCACAGCUCCCUUGGUCUUCUAUCAUGUGUGGCCUGCUCUGAUGGAGAAUGAAAUUGUCAUUAUGAAAGGAGAAGCCGUCACCAAGAGAGGGGCUUUUGUACGGUGUCAUUGUGGAAUCGAAAUUCAUCAAAUCUGUUUGCCUCACAGAUUCCUGACACUUUUUGUAUCCAGAGGAAUUAUGUUCCAUUGGUUCCACAAAGAAUUUCAUAAAAACAAUCAUUUGAAAAGUGGUCAUCUGUGAGAAAUGUCAACCGAAGUCGGAGUAGAAGUCUAAGCCCUGUCCAUCACCAUGGUUGCUCCGGUAAAAGCGGGGUAUCAAGAAGUCGGAGCCCUUCUCCACCAAGAAAUAUAAAUACAAUUUUCUCUUGCAGACCGAACAAGCCUAAUGCUUUUUCAACAUGACAACCAUUCAAAUACUUAAAGACCUUUUUUGACCAUCUCCACCUCAUUGGAAACUUGAAAUCCACCCCUGGGUCGCUGGCUCUGAUAGGUGAUGGGAGCCCAGCUCAGGCCUUUGGACCUCAGGAAAGAGAGAAGUACAAGUAUGAGCAGAUGGGUAGCCAGGUCCGGUCCCCUGAUAUUCACUUAGGAUGUUCUAGCAGGAGGGCCUUGGUUGAUCUCAACUGCUGUGAAAGUUCACUGGGAGAAAAAUCAUCUCCAUGGUAACCAGGGCCAAAGCUGAUUAGUGCUUUUUGGAUCAACAUCCACAGUGAUUGGAAGUAAAUGAGUUUAAAGCUUGUGAAGACCACAGGGUGGUUCCUCCCACAAGUAUUUGAGCCACAAGGGAUGAAGCCAACAAAUUCGGCUGCCAUCAGUGAAACUCAUCUUCCCCUAGGCCCCAAGGAUUGUACCUACACCCUCCACAGAAAGGUGAAGAAACUAAGGCUCGGAAGGACAAACUGAUUUUUGUGAAACAGUCGAUGGUUCUAGUGAGUGGCAAAUCAUGUUCUUGAACCCCCACCGACAAGUGCUUUUACCUCUUCGCCAAAACAUCUC
Sarcophilus harrisii (Tasmanian devil) is the source of this 2499-nucleotide RNA transcript. It is a transcript of the gene named spermatogenesis associated 18, with no coding region annotated. The transcript has 16 exons. The record is from RefSeq and is a predicted model, not a curated record. Lineage: Eukaryota; Metazoa; Chordata; Mammalia; Dasyuromorphia; Dasyuridae.